This 8824-nucleotide long non-coding RNA is filed under the name Gossypium barbadense (sea-island cotton). RNAcentral describes it as "long non-coding RNA (GBAR_LNC004960)". Lineage: Eukaryota; Viridiplantae; Streptophyta; Magnoliopsida; Malvales; Malvaceae. The record is from RNAcentral.
AGGCAUGCGAGUGGCGGCUGGUCAGAGGCGUGCAUGCGCGAGGGGAGGUGAAGCGGCGGCAGCUACAAAGCAUGAGGCUAGGGUUUUUUUUGUUUGGCUGAAAACUAGUAUAGUUUUGGGCCAUUCGGGCCUCUAGGGUUUUUAUCAUUAUUGGGCAUUUGGAUUGGGUCUGUUUUUGGGUUAAUUUUGUUGUAAUGGUUUGUUAAUUCUUUAUUGGUCUUGGUCUAUUUGGGUUUUAUGGUCAGGGCCCGGGCAAAAUUUGGGUCUUACAGCUGCCCUUCUUUGCUCAUUUUCGUGUAACGAGAAUAGAGCAAAGACUAAGAAAGAUCAAUUUUGCCCGGUCUCACCGAGUCUUAACUCAUUGGGUGCCGCUCUUCUUCAAGUAGCUUUAUUCUAUUCUGUUGUGACUUUAGGGGAUGGGAUUUGCGGUUUUAAUCCGCUACACUGCAACUUCAGGGAGAUAGGAUUGGUUUCUUUCGUCUACUCCACUACUGCUUAGGGAGAUAAGACUGGAUGUGAUCUGCUCCAUUACUGCUUAGGGAGAUAAGAUCUGUGGUUUUAAUCCGCUCCACUGCAACUUCAGGGAGAUAGGAUUGGUUUCUUUCGUCUGCUCCACUACUUCUUAGGGAGAUAAGACUGGAUGUGAUCUGCUCCAUUACUGCUUAGGGAGAUAAGAUCUGGUUUCUUUCGUCUGCUCCACUACUGCUUAGGGAGAUAAGACUUGAUGUGAUCUGCUCCACUACUACUUAGGGAGAUAAGAUCUGGUUUCUUUCGUCUGCUCCACUACUGCUUAGGGAGAUAAGACUUCAUGUGAUCUGCUCCACUACUGCUUAGGGAGAUAAGAUCUGGUUUCUUUCGUCUGCUCUACUACUGCUUAAGGAGAUAAGACUUGAUGCGAUCUGCUCCACUACUGCUUAAGGAGAUAAGAUCUGGUUUCUUUCGUCUGCUCCACUACUGCUUAGGGAGAUAAGACUUGAUGUGAUCUGCUCCACUACUGCUUAGGGAGAUAAGAUCUGGUUUCUUUUGUCUGCUCCACUACUGCUUAGGGAGAUAAGACCUGAUGUGAUCUGCUCCACUACUACUCAGGGAGAUAAGAUCUGGUUUCUUUUGUCUGCUCCACUACUACUUAGAGAGAUAAGACUUGAUGUGAUCUGCUCCACUACUGCUUAGAGAGAUAAGAUCUGGUUUCUUUUGUCUGCUCCACUACUGCUUAGGGAGAUAAGACUUGAUGUGAUCUGCUCCACUACUGGCUAGGGAGAUAAGAUCUGGUUUCUUUUGUCUGCUCCACUACUACUUAGGGAGAUAAGACUGUUGGCUUCAAUGUACUCCAUUAUAAUCUCCGGGAAGUAAAAUCCGCCAUCUUUAAUCUGCUAUCUACUUCGCUGUCAAUACAGGAAGGUAAGAUCUGCUAUCUUUAGUCUGCUCCACUGUCAGUACAGGAAGGCAAGACUGGCUUCUUCGAUCUACUUCGUCGUUAGUACAGGAAGGCAAGAUCUGCAAUCUCUGACCUGCUCCACUACAACCGAGGGAGGCAAGACUUGUGUCUUUGAUCUGCUUCGCUGUCAAUACAGGAAGGCAAGAUCUAUUGUCUUCAACCAGCUCCACCACAACCGAGAGAGGCAAGGUUUGUGUCUUCGACCUACUUCACUGUCAAUACAGGAAGGCAAGAUCUGCUGUCUUCAACCAGCUCCGCUACAACCGAGAGAGGCAAGGUUUGUGUCUUCGACCUGCUUCGCUGUCAAUGCAGGAAGGCAAGAUCUGCUAUCUUUGACCAGCUCCACUGCAACCGAUGGAGGCAAUGUUUUCUAUUUCUUUGAUCUGUUCUUUGUCAAUGUAGGAAGGCAAGAUCUAUUGUCUUCAACCAGCUCUACUACAACCGAGAGAGGCAAUGUUUGUGUCUUUGACCUGCUUCACUGUCAAUGCAGGAAGGCAAGAUCUGUUGUCUUCAACCAGCUCCGCUACAACCGAGAGAGGAAAGGUUUGUGUCUUCGAUCUGCUUCGCUGUCAGGGCAGGAAGGCAAGAUCUGUUGUCUUCAAACAGCUCUGCUACAACCGAGAGAGGUAAGGUUUUGUUUUCGAUCUGCUUCGCUGUUAACGCAGGAAUGCAAGAUCUGCUAUCUUUAACCAGCUCUGCUACAACUGAGAGAGGCAAGGUUUUGUUUUCGAUCCGCUUCGCUAUUAAUGCAGGAAGGCAAGAUCUACUAUCUUUAACCAGCUCCACUACAACCGAUGGAGGCAAGGAUCUGUUUCUUUGAUCUGUUUUCUGGGGAACAUGACCUGUAGAAUCCAUUUUAUGGACCUAUUUAUGCUUAGUGUUUAAGAUGACAUGAUCAGAAUAAAUCAAAUGCUCCUAACUAGAUGUGUAUGAAUGAUAUUUGCAUGAAUGUAGAAUGUCAUGAGAAUGAUCCCUUUUUAAUGUUUGGGUUGUCGUUGCUCGUUGUUCAUCAAGGUUCUAUCACUGAUGUUUUCCCGUUUAGCAAGUAUCUUUGACAGAAUAUUCAAAGAAAUAGUCUCAAUUUAGACUAUCCUUUCUCAAAUGUUUCCAACCCUUAGGUUUGGUUAGUUCUAAAUAAUAGUCCUGUUUCAGGUCCUCGUAUUAUUUAGAAACUUUCAGAGUAAUAUGCAGAACUCCUUCUGCAUGAGUAUUGUUAGUCCAUUAAUCGUUAUUUCAAUGAAAAAUGCUUGAAAAAAAUUAUCAAAAUGGACAAAAUGAAAUUUUGUUGAGAGCAAAGCUCUAAACAAACAAAUCAAUCAAGACAGCAAAUUUUGCUGAGAUAUGAGAUGUAUAAGAUGAAAAAGAUUAUCACAAUGGAUAAGAUGGAAAUUUGUUGAGAGCAAAGCUCUAAAUGAAUAAAUUAAUCAAUAUAGCAAAUUUUGCUAGAAUAUAAAAUGAGAAUAAAUUAAUCAAGAUGGCAUAUUUUGUCAAAAAUACAAAAAUGAAUAAAAUGGAAAUAGGUGCCCCAGAUAUCAUAGCAUGAGCUUCUCUACCCCAAACUUCUUGAAGACCCUUUUGAACUUGAUAUGUGUCUAGAAGUCCUAGAAGACUUUGUUGAUGCCCCAAGAUGUAGCAUCUCUUAUUCUUAUUAAUUCGGAAAGGACAAGAUUACCGCAUGCCCCACCUUUGAUCAAAAUUUGAACUGCCCAUUCCUGGGUUUUCAAUUCAAAACUCUUUGGUCUCAAGGCGCCCUUUGCGGGUUUUCACCUUGGCCUCUCCUUUUUCUUUUUUCAUUCUUCCUUUUUUUCUUUUCUUUUUCGUUUUUUUUCUUUUCGUUUUUUCUCUUCUUUUUUUUCAAGUGAAGUAUUUGUUCCUUGAAUCAAAAUUCUCAAGAUUAGGCAAGUUAUUGUCAUCUAUCUUAGUCAAUAUCGACGCUCUCCCAGAUAAAGCCUUCCACAUAAGGUUCUUCAGGCUUGGCAUCCACUUUUUUCUAAAGUCUCCUUUGUAUAGGAAGGAUCUUCUUCGAUAUCAGGUCCCCCUCAUGGAAUUCUCGAGGGCGAGCCUUUUUUGGUGAACUCGCAUAAUUCGCUUUUGGUACACUUGACCAUGACGGAUAACUUUCAACCUUUUCUCUUCAAUCAACUUUAACUGAUCAUAACAGGUUUUGAUCAAUUAUGCUUCAUCCAACUUCAGCUUUGACAAGACUUGAAGGGAAGGAAUAUCAACUUCGAUGGGUAAAACUGCUUCUAUUACAUAUACCAAUAAGAAACGAGUUGCCCCGAUAGAGGUUCUUUUAUUUUUUAUUUUCUCAUUUUUUACUUUUAUUUUUUUUACUUUUUUCGCCUUUUUUUUAUGCUUUUGUUUUUGUUUUUUUUUUGCCUCCACUGAACCGUUCAUUUUGGGGCGACAUGGUGUUAAUCUUGAACAGACUGUAAACUUCUGAUGUCGUGCGGUUGUUCAAAUUCAAUACAUGGUCUAAUAUGAUCCCCUUUUGGCAUUCCAUAUUGACAUAUGAUUUUUCAAGAAUUUACUGACUGUCAGCUUUGUGAUAUUAGCAUAUGAAGUAGCUUCCACCCACCUAGUGAAGUAAUCGAUGGCCACAAAGAUAAAUCGAUGACCGCUAGAAGCUUUUGGCAAGGUUGUCCCAAUGACAUCCAUGCCCCUCAUAGAGAAAGUCCAUGAAAAAUUCAUAACAUGAAGAGAUAAAGGAAUCACAUAAAUCUUGUCUUCGUAAAUUUGACACUUGUGGCGUUUCUUGGUAUAACUGAUGCAAUCCCCUUCCAUGGUGGACCAGCAGCACCCAAAUCUCAUGAUUUGCUUGGCCAUUGCAAAACUAUUAGCACGUGUUCCUCAGACACCCGUAUGGACCUCGUCUAAGAUCUUCUUAACCUCAAGAGCGUCCACACGUCUUAGUAGCUUAGGCAUAUUUGAAAACAUCUUUGAAUUCUUAGAGUAACUCAAUGAUGUCUCGCUUUGUCUCUGCGGUGAUACAGGCUCUAACCUUCACCUUUUUCUCUUCUCCUAAGCUCACAAUUCCCCACUGAAUUUUUUUUGUAAGGUUAGAUCUAUUUUUCGACUUGCCUUACCAUCUUUAACAAAUCAGGAGAUAAACUAUAGUCUCGGUCAUCUCCAAAGUCCUGAGGUUCCUCUUAGACACAUAUCUUGCUCAAAAGAGAGUUCUGAGUCAAUAGCAGUGUUGCUCAUAUCAUUGAUAUCUGGAGACCUGUUCUAGGGACGAAGGAAGGCUUAAAGAGCUAAUGAAUCAAAGGGUAACUAUCUGUGUGGUAUGAGUAUGAAUGAACUGGAAGGAACAAAAGAAUAUUUGCCAAAACAAGACACAAAGAUGCAUUUCGUUGAAAUAAAGAAUAGUGGACAUGUGCCUUUUCAAAAAAGGAUUUUCUAUUGCUCCCAAGCUUGGAAUAAUAAGAGCGUUCCAAAUAUUACUAUGAAAUGGUCCUAAAAAAUUACAAGAAUCUCCUCCACAGUCCAAUUGUUUAGAACGCCUCUAGGGAUGUAGAAACAAAUUCAUGAUAGGUUUUUUCAUUUUUUAGUUCUUCUUCAAAGGCACAAACAUCUUCACCUUUCGAACCAUCGAUAUAUUCAAAGAAUUCCAAUCCAUCUGGUUCUGUACUAGAGUUCUAAACUCAACGUACUUUUUAGAUUUUAGGAAAUUAAUUGUAUGCAAUGAAGUGUAAUGUUGAUGCAUGAAUGCGUAUUUUUGGAUUUUAGGAAAUUUAUUGUAUGCAAUGAAAUGUAAUGUUAAUGCAUGGAAAAGAAAUGCAUGCAACGAAAUGUAAUGCAGAUGUAUGAAUCCAAAAAAAAGGUGUUGAUCUUGAUUCAAUUCCAUUAGAACAACUUUACUAAGAAACAAAUCUCUUUACAUAAAGCGGAUAUAUUCGGCUUUGCCCUCAUAUGCGGAGACAUUCGAUCCUCUUCUUCAUUCGAGCGUUAAGAUAAAUUUCAUGAACUCUCCAGAAGGGACGUCUCUUCUAUUUCCUCUGGGCUGCGACUUGUUGCACACUCAUCCUUGUAAUGCUCGUUGGCUUUUUCUUUAAGAAAGUUUUGUGGCUCUCGAAUAAUCUUUGUCAUCUUGAAUCCUCGGGCAACAAAGCAAUAGUCGUGUAGUCCUCUAUUAAACUAUCAUCCUUCUCUUAUCACGUUUUCUUAGACCAUAUUCGGACAACCGUAAUAUUAUCCACUUUAUCAAGAAACCCAUUUCCUCAUGACAAGCUCUCUAUUUAACAACCGAACGUGAAUCAACACAUCUUUUUAUGAUGAAAAUGCAAUGUAAUCAUAACCAAAAAGAAAAGAAAAUAGGUUAGUACGAAGCAACAGCAAGCAGGAAUAAAUAGAACACAUGUUCGGGUGACCACUAGGGGUUUGAGGUGGCCCUGCCUAGGGUAGGCUCCUAAAGCUCAUUAUAUGUGGUUUGGUUCUAAAGCAAGGGUACCCGAACCAGCAGAUUCCUCGAUCCUCACCCAGUAUAGGCUCAUACGGACUGAGUUCGGUUCAGGGGAAUACAUUUCCCUAUGGCUGCAUGGAGAUGAAAAUCUCACGAAGACAUAGGUACAGAUGUAUCCCGAAAGUGUUUCACUAUCCCAUGCGGAGGUGAAAACCUCACGAAGACGUAGUUUCUCACUCCCACUUAGAAGGGUGUGACCCACGGUCAUGCAAUGCAAUGCAGCAGUAUACCAAGCUUAAACUACCACAGCUUAAACUACCAAAAUCAAGACGAAUGAAAUGCAAUGAAAGGAUCGUAAAUUUAAAUCAAAUCUUUAAUUUUCGACGAAAAGACAAAAAGUAAUCAACUCGUGGCUUGACUCUCGUGGUUAAUCCCCAGUGGAGUCGCCAAGCUGUUGACACUAUUUUUUUUGCUAAAACGGGGUCGACUUGGAUUUUGAAAACGAAAAUUAAAAUGGGAGUCGUCACAAAUCUUUUUUGAUAAGGUGUGAUCGGAUCACCUUGAAAAAAAUGUUGUUUUCAAUAAACGAUUUGAUUUUAUUAAAACAACGAUUUUGGUCCACGAAAUUCAGAAAAACGGGUUCGGGAGUCAGUUACGCACGAGGAAGGAUUAACACCCUCGAUACGCCCAAAAUUGGUACCUAGUUGAUUAAUUAAUAUCUCAGUGUCGAAGAUUAAAAACUCAAAAAGAAUACAAUCCCUCUUUAUUGUGUUAUUUUAAAAUUACUCGAAUAAAUAAAAAUAGAAAAUGCUUCCUUAUCUCGAAGUAACAAGAUGUCACAUCCAGUAAGUUAGGACACGACACCUCGUAUUUUUGAGAGUAAGCUUGCAUUUAAUUUUUUAUUUAAACCUCAUUUAUUUUAAUUUUAAAAGGAUAUUCGGUUAUUUAGGUCAACGAGAAAAAUCGAAGCCCAGUAAGUUAGGGCACGAUUUCUCGAAUUUUCUAAAUAUAGAAUAUUGCCUUUAUUUUUGAAAUUUUAUACGUUUGGAAAUUUAAAAGGAUAUUUUGCUAUUCAGGUUUAACGAGAAAAUCGAGACCCAGUAAGUUAGGGUACGAUUCUUCGAAUUUCCUAAAAUGCGAGAUAUUGCCUUAUUUUAAAAUUUUCUUUUUGAAUAAUGACAAGUGCAACACUUGUAUGAGGUGAACUUGUUUUGUGAUAAAAUAAAACGGUUUAUUAUAGGUAUAUAAAAAUACAUUAAGCGCCAUUUUAGAAAUGAUGGAAUGAUAGAAUGCUUAUAGAGAACAUAGAAUGACAAUAAAAUGUUACAACAAUGAAUGACAAAUAUGCAAAAACAAAAGAGCACACGUUGACAAAAAACGCAUAAUGUAUAUCAUUUUAACACUAACAUUAAUAAUCGAAGUAAACAAAACACAAUAUCAUGCAAAUCAAUUCAAAGUAAAUAAUGAUUUAAAAUAAAUAAUUUACAACAACAAUUUAAAAAAUAAAUAAUAAAAGGGCUUCAUAUAAACAGAAUAUAAAAACUUAAAAAUGAAUAAUAAUAGUUCAAAACAAAUAAAUAAAAGACAUACAACAUUUAAAAAUAUAUAUAUACAUGCAUAUAAGAGUUUAAAAGAUUAUAUACAUAUAAUGGUUUAAAAUGAAUAACCUAUUAAGAGAAUUAAAUAAAGAGCAUGUAAACAGUUUACCAUAAAUGAUAAAUAAUAACAAAAAUAAUAAAAGAUUUUUUGAAUAUAAAAAAAUAAAUUAAAUGGACCAAGGAUGAUACUGAAAUCGAAUCAGAACUUGGGGUUUUAAUUGCAAAAACCAUAAACAGGACACAAGGGAUUAAAAAAGGCGCGCGCGCGAAGAAUGAAGGACUAAUCGGGCAAUAUACCCCAGUCCUAGAGUGCAACGUUUCAGGCAAAGGACCUUACAUGGUCAAAGGACCUGAUUGAAGCAGAAACAAAAUUUGCAGCCCAAAUCUAAAAGAAAUAAAAGGUUGGAUUGCACUUCAAUGCAAGAUGGAGGGACUAAAUGCAUAAAUUACCCAUUAGGGCAAAGCAUGCGCAGAUCUCCCCCUCAAACGGCACCGUUUUAAUGUCUUUAUUACUUAAACAAGAAAAAUAAAAUUUGAAACCCUCAUCUGCAGCCCCUGUUACAAAAAGAAAAAAAAAGGAAUCCUCUUCAGCCCCCUCCCACUAUCCAGCCAUAGGGCCACUGCUUGCGCCACCGGGACCAAAGGCCGACGACGAAGAACAUAGGCUUUUCAGCCCUUGUUUCGCGGCGUACCCGAGAGUCGGGCUUCCAACCCGAGGGACCGAAGGAGCAUUAGACCCACCUUAAGACCCGAUUCCGACGACGGCGAGAAGAUACCCGCCGACGGAGCCACCGGUGAUCCAGGUACGUUCCUUCCCUUCUCUUUUUUGUAUUUAUUUAAUAUGCGAAAAUAAAAUAAAAAAAUCAAACAGAAAAAGGAAAGAAAAAAAUGAAAUUUUGACCUUUGAAAAUCGGUGUUCUGUUUCUUUUUUAUUAUUAAUGUUUUGUCGAAAGCCGAAGAAGCCAAUACAAAGAAAUUGGAAUGGCUUUUUAUAGCUGAGAUUACAACGCUCCAUCUCUAUUGUUUUUGUUUUUUUGCGAUUUGUUUUCUUCUCUCUACUGCGUGUUUAUUGCUUUUUGCAGGUGGUGUCAGACGCGUUGGUGCAGGCGACGACAGAGGCAUGCGAGUGGCGGCUGGUCAGAGGCGUGCAUGCGCGAGGGGAGGUGAAGCGGCGGCAGCUACAAAGCAUGAGGCUAGGGUUUUUUUUGUUUGGCUGAAAACUAGUAUAGUUUUGGGCCAUUCGGGCCUCUAGGGUUUUUAUCAUUAUUGGGCAUUUGGAUUGGGUCUGUUUUUGGGUUAAUUUUGUUGUAAUGGUUUGUUAAUUCUUUAUUGGUCUUGGUCUAUUUGGGUUUUAUGGUCAGGGCCCGGGCAAAAUUUGGGUCUUACAUA